Molecule: long non-coding RNA, 1089 nt
Organism: Thrips palmi
Lineage: Eukaryota; Metazoa; Arthropoda; Insecta; Thysanoptera; Thripidae
Exons: 4
Source: RefSeq, a predicted model, not a curated record
UGUUAUCGUUCUAUAAAACGUUUCGGCUCAAGCAGCCGGCUGCCGACUGUUUUCUGUCACUAGGCGUUUCUGCUACGCCACGGCCGGCCCGCCAAGGCCUCGGGGGCUCUGCAGGCUCUGCAGUCUGCAGUGCCCCCCCCCCCCCUGUCACACCUUUCCCUGUUGUCUCUCUAGUCAUUCCCCCUUCCGCCCAGCGCAGGCGCACUUUGCGAUCCCAUUCGCUCGCGGGGGCAGCUUCGCGGCUUCGCUCGCCGAUUUGACUAGUCGACGGCCAUCCCCAUUGACCCCGGUCCUUGUUUCGUCGAGCGUCCGAACUUCCCUCCUCGUGACCUCUCUGGCGGUUCUGGCGGUCGACCCCUGAGCUCUCUCAGGCGGUUUCUCCAGGGACUGGAAAUUAUUGUGUGAAUUAUUCGCAACAGCAGCACCCAGUAUGCAGGCCAACUGGCUGAAUCGGCAUGAAGACUUUGGUGGACUGGGCAGGAGCCAGAAGAUAUAGUAGUUUGCAUACCUGUCGUGAUUUUACUGGACCGAGCACAGCUCCAAGAACUGAUUUAACAUCAGAUGAUGCUGAUUUGGAUGCAACAUCUGGAGGUUCUCGGCUUUCAACAUAAGGAAGAUUACUUUUCCUAAUGGGAACACCAAAUUCUAGAACCAAGGACAAACACAAAAAAAAAGUAAAAACAUCCAUUAAAACUUGAAUUAAUUAACCUAACUCAAAUGAAGGUGAACCCACCAGUAGCAACUGAUUGAAGAGAACUCAGUUCUGCUCUAUAUUUCAAGAAGAACUGAUGUUGGAGAGAAGCAAGACGGAAAGUGAAGUAACUCCUACACAAAGCACAAAUUACAGAGAUAGCAAGCCACACUGGUGCAUCUCUUCCAGACUUCUGGGCCUGCAUUUAAAAAAAAAUCAAUGAAAACCAUGUUAAACAUUUAUUGACAAUCAACUUAGGCUUAAUAAAAUUUUACUCACUGAGGUGGCAGAGUAAAAGUGUGUGCCAUACUCCGAAAAUUGUUGCGCAAGAGAAAUAAACAUUUCUUCAGCUCUGCCAGGGUCAAGACCAAUUCUUUCUUGAUGUGCUGCCUGCAACU